UACGUAGGGUGCGAGCGUUAAUCGGAAUUACUGGGCGUAAAGCGUGCGCAGGCGGUGAGUUAAGUCAGGUGUGAAAUCCCCGGGCUUAACCUGGGAAUUGCGCUUGAAACUAGCGGGCUUGAGUGUGGCAGAGGGGGGUGGAAUUCCACGUGUAGCAGUGAAAUGCGUAGAUAUCGGGAGGAACAUCAGUGGCGAAGGCGGCCCUCUGGUCCAGUACUGACACUCAAGUGCGAAAGCGUGGGGAGCAAACAGG
RNAcentral lists this ribosomal RNA (253 nucleotides) under uncultured bacterium. RNAcentral describes it as "partial 16S ribosomal RNA". It matches the Rfam family "Bacterial small subunit ribosomal RNA", at positions 524 to 776 of the family's 1533-position model. The record is from RNAcentral.